RNAcentral lists this ribosomal RNA (301 nucleotides) under uncultured bacterium. RNAcentral describes it as "partial 16S ribosomal RNA". It matches the Rfam family "Bacterial small subunit ribosomal RNA", at positions 509 to 809 of the family's 1533-position model. The record is from RNAcentral.
CAGCAGCCGCGGUAAUACGAAGGGGGCUAGCGUUGCUCGGAAUUACUGGGCGUAAAGGGAGCGUAGGCGGACAUUUAAGUCAGGGGUGAAAUCCCAGAGCUCAACUCUGGAACUGCCUUUGAUACUGGGUGUCUUGAGUGUGAUAGAGGUAUGUGGAACUCCGAGUGUAGAGGUGAAAUUCGUAGAUAUUCGGAAGAACACCAGUGGCGAAGGCGACAUACUGGAUCAUUACUGACGCUGAGGCUCGAAAGCGUGGGGAGCAAACAGGAUUAGAUACCCCGGUAGUCCCUGUCUCUUAUAA